UACGUAGGGGCCGAGCGUUGUCCGGAGUUAUUGGGCGUAAAGCGCGCGCAGGCGGCCUCGCGCGCCCGACGUGAAAGCCCCCGGCUUAACCGGGGGAGGGUCGUUGGGGACGGCGGGGCUUGAGGGCGGGAGAGGUCGGUGGAAUUCCCGGUGUAGUGGUGAAAUGCGUAGAGAUCGGGAGGAACACCUGUGGCGAAGGCGGCCGACUGGGCCGACCCUGACGCUGAGGCGCGAAGGCGUGGGGAGCGAACGGG
RNAcentral lists this ribosomal RNA (254 nucleotides) under uncultured bacterium. RNAcentral describes it as "partial 16S ribosomal RNA". It matches the Rfam family "Bacterial small subunit ribosomal RNA", at positions 524 to 776 of the family's 1533-position model. The record is from RNAcentral.